UGGGGAAUAUUGGGCAAUGGGGGAAACCCUGACCCAGCAAAGCAGCGUGAGGGAAGAAGGUUGUCGGAUUGUAAACCUCUGUCCGUGGUGAAGAAAGAGAUGACGGUAGCCAAGGAGGAAGCCCCGGCUAACUACGUGCCAGCAGCCGCGGUAAUACGUAGGGGGCGAGCGUAGCCCGGAAUGACUGGGCGUAAAGGGCGCGUAGACGGCUGUCUAAGUCUGGAGUGAAAGUCCUGUUUUCAAGGCGGGAAUUGCUUUGGAGACUGGAUGGCUUGAGUGCGGAAGAGGUAAGUGGAAUUCCCAGUGUAGCGGUGAAAUGCGUAGAGAUUGGGAGGAACACCAGUGGCGAAGGCGACUUACUGGGCCGUAACUGACGUUGAAGCGCGAAAGCGUGGGGAGCGAACAGG
Molecule: ribosomal RNA, 407 nt
Filed under: uncultured prokaryote
Also listed under: 1 other name
Description: bacterial SSU rRNA
Rfam family: Bacterial small subunit ribosomal RNA
Source: RNAcentral